This 493-nucleotide ribosomal RNA is filed under the name uncultured bacterium. RNAcentral's name for it is "partial 16S ribosomal RNA". It matches the Rfam family "Bacterial small subunit ribosomal RNA", at positions 29 to 507 of the family's 1533-position model. The record is from RNAcentral.
AACGAACGCUGGCGGCGCGUCUUACACAUGCAAGUCGAACGGCAGGAAGGGGCUUGCCCCUUCUGAGAGUGGCGGACUGGUGAGUAACACGUGGGUGACAUACCUUUUAGUUGGGGAUAGCUAUUAGAAAUAGUAGGUAAUACCGAAUGUGACCGUACCUGUUAGAGGGGUACGAGGAAAGGAGCUAAGGCUUCGCUAAAAGAAUGGCUCGCGGCCCAUUAUGCUCGUUGGUGAGGUAACGGCCCACCAAGGCGAUGAUGGGUAUCCGGCCUGAGAGGGUGAACGGACACAUUGGGACUGAGAUACGGCCCAGAAUUCUACGGGAGGCAGCAGUUAAGAAUAUUCCGCAAUGGACGAAAGUCUGACGGAGCGACGCCGCGUGGAUGAAGAAUGCCGAAAGGUUGUAAAAUCCUUUUAAGCCUGAUGAAUAAGCACAGUAGGGAAUGAUUGUGAGGUGACCGUAGGGCUUGAAUAAGCACCGGCUAAUUACGUG